AAGAGGGGGUCAGGUGGAGACCUUCAAGUGGUACAGGGGACACAACAAGGGUGACUAAGAGGGGGUCUGGUGGAGGUCUUCAAGUGGUACAGGGGACACAACAAGGGUGACUAAGAGGGGGUCUGGUGGAGGUCUUCAAGUGGUACAGGGGACAUGACGAGUAACAAAAUCUCUCUCUCUCUCUCUCUCUCUCUCUCUCUCUCUCUCUCUCACACACACACACACACACACACACACAA
Molecule: long non-coding RNA, 239 nt
Organism: Scylla paramamosain (green mud crab)
Lineage: Eukaryota; Metazoa; Arthropoda; Malacostraca; Decapoda; Portunidae
Exons: 2
Source: RefSeq, a predicted model, not a curated record